RNAcentral lists this ribosomal RNA (349 nucleotides) under uncultured bacterium. RNAcentral's name for it is "bacterial SSU rRNA". It matches the Rfam family "Bacterial small subunit ribosomal RNA", at positions 566 to 913 of the family's 1533-position model. The record is from RNAcentral.
CGAGUGUAGGCGGUUUGGUAAGUCGGAUGUGAAAGCCCCGGGCUCAACCCGGGAAGUGCACUCGAUACUGCCAAGCUAGAGUAUCGGAGAGGUUGGUGGAAUUCUCGGUGUAGAGGUGAAAUUCGUAGAUAUCGAGAGGAACACCGGUGGCGAAGGCGGCCAACUGGACGAAUACUGACGCUGAGACUCGAAAGCGUGGGGAGCAAACAGGAUUAGAUACCCUGGUAGUCCACGCCGUAAACGAUGGGUGCUAGGUGUCGCGGGCUUUGACUCCUGCGGUGCCGUAGCUAACGCAUUAAGCACCCCGCCUGGGAAGUACGGCCGCAAGGCUAAAACUCAAAGGAAUUGA